GCACUCUUUCUAGGUUGACACAAUCCUGUAAGUGACAAACACACAGAAGGGUAAAGGAAGUUUCCAUAAAACCCAAAAAGAUACUGUAAACCUUCUCUUUGGACCCUUUCUGGAGCCACAGCU
This is a small nucleolar RNA of Peromyscus maniculatus bairdii (prairie deer mouse), 123 nucleotides long. Ensembl annotates it as predicted gene, 23593. Lineage: Eukaryota; Metazoa; Chordata; Mammalia; Rodentia; Cricetidae. The record is from Ensembl.